UAUAAAAAGGUCAGGGGCAGCUCAUGUAUAUGACUUCAUUUGGAAGCCUCUGGAGAAGCAAUGAAGGCCUAAAAAUGGAAUGGAUAUGGGCAUCUUGGAUUUUCAACAAGAAUACUCUGGCAAGAUGCAGCACAUAACUAUGCAACUGAGUGGAGGGAACAGCAAUUCUAGCUCAUUGCUAGUUGAAGGAAAUCAUGCAAACGCCAAGAGUCUGGGGCAGAUGACAAUCUCUCAUUUGUUUUUCUCCCACUAAAAUAUCUGCUUACCAUGUGAUGGUGGGAGUCACAUUUAAGAAAGUGGAGCCAUAAUAUGAAAAAAAGCCCGUAUUCCAGAUCACUGACUGGAAGAUAGUGGUCCCAUCAGUCCUUCCAAACAGAAGCACCACCUUUGGACUACUUGAGAUAAAAAUAAACUUUUACUGAG
This is a long non-coding RNA of Zalophus californianus (California sea lion), 423 nucleotides long. RefSeq lists it as uncharacterized. The record is from RefSeq and is a predicted model, not a curated record. Lineage: Eukaryota; Metazoa; Chordata; Mammalia; Carnivora; Otariidae. The transcript has 3 exons.